AGUGAACGCUGGCGGUAGGCCUAACACAUGCAAGCCGAACGGCAGCACAGAGGAGCUUGCUCCUUGGGUGGCGAGUGGCGGACGGGUGAGGAAUACAUCGGAAUCUACUCUGUCGUGGGGGAUAACGUAGGGAAACUUACGCUAAUACCGCAUACGACCUAUGGGUGAAAGCAGGGGACCUUCGGGCCUUGCGCGAUUGAAUGAGCCGAUGUCGGAGUAGCUAGUUGGCGGGGUAAAGGCCCACCAAGGCGACGAUCCGUAGCUGGUCUGAGAGGAUGAUCAGCCAAGCUGGAACUGAGACACGGUCGAGACGCCUACGGGAGACAGGAGUGGGGAAUAGUGGACAAUGGGCGCAAGCCUGAUCCAGCCAUACCGGGUGAGUGAAGAAGGCCUGCGGGUUGUAAAGCCCUUUUGUUGGGAAAGAAAUCCAGCUGGCUAAUACCCGGUUGGGAUGACGGUACCCAAAGAAUAAGCACCGGCUAACUUCGUGCCAGCCGCCGCCGUAA
This 506-nucleotide ribosomal RNA is filed under the name uncultured bacterium. RNAcentral's name for it is "partial 16S ribosomal RNA". It matches the Rfam family "Bacterial small subunit ribosomal RNA", at positions 29 to 523 of the family's 1533-position model. The record is from RNAcentral.